Non-coding RNA from Pelobates cultripes (western spadefoot toad), 255 nucleotides. The record is from the annotation of a GenBank genome assembly. Lineage: Eukaryota; Metazoa; Chordata; Amphibia; Anura; Pelobatidae.
CUCAUCCGUCAGCAAAGGAUUAUUCCUUCUACUCAACUGUAACACACACUUAUUCCAGACUGGACAUGUUUUUUGUCCCACAUAGAUUUCUCCAUCUCAUCCAGUCCAGCAGAUAUGGCCAAAUUACUUGGUCAGACCAUGCACCCCUAACGUUAGAUAUGCACAUACCCACACUACCCCAGAAAUCUUUCCAAUGGAAACUCAACGACCUCCUCCUGAACGAUCCCGCAGUAACGGCCAAUAUCAAUAAUGCAC